This 301-nucleotide ribosomal RNA is filed under the name uncultured bacterium. RNAcentral's name for it is "partial 16S ribosomal RNA". It matches the Rfam family "Bacterial small subunit ribosomal RNA", at positions 509 to 807 of the family's 1533-position model. The record is from RNAcentral.
CAGUCGCCGCGGGAAUACGAAGGGGGCUAGCGUUGCUCGGAAUCACUGGGCGUAAAGGGUGCGUAGGCGGGUCUUUAAGUCAGGGGUGAAAUCCUGGAGCUCAACUCCAGAACUGCCUUUGAUACUGAAGAUCUUGAGUUCGGGAGAGGUGAGUGGAACUGCGAGUGUAGAGGUGAAAUUCGUAGAUAUUCGCAAGAACACCAGUGGCGAAGGCGGCUCACUGGCCCGAUACUGACGCUGAGGCACGGAAGCGUGGGGAGCAAACAGGAUUAGAUACCCGCGUAGUCCCUGUCUCUUAUAC